GCCUUCGUGGUGUAGUGGCCAGCACGCUCGACGCAUAACAGAGAGGUCCAUGGUUCGAUUCCUGGCGAAGGCG
Molecule: non-coding RNA, 73 nt
Organism: Stegodyphus mimosarum
Lineage: Eukaryota; Metazoa; Arthropoda; Arachnida; Araneae; Eresidae
Source: Rfam